GACGAACGCUGGCGGCGUGCUUAACACAUGCAAGUCGAACGAUGAAGAAGAGAAACGCGAACUUCGGUUCCAAUUUCACUUCGGAUUAGUGGCAGACGGGUGAGUAACGCGUGAGCAACCUACCUCUUACAAAGGGAUAGCCUCGUGAAACCGUGAUUAAUACCAUAUGACACAUUCAUAAUGCAUCUUAAGAAUGUUAAAGCUACGGCGGUAAGAGAUGGGCUCGCGUACCAUUAGCUAGUUGUUGAGGUAACGGCCCGCCAAGGCGACGAUGGGUACCCGGACUGAGAGGGUGAACGGUCACACUGGAACUGAGACACGGUCCAAACUGCUAGGAGAAGCAGCAGUGAGGGAUAUAGCAGCAUGGAGCGAAUGCAGAUGCAGCGACGCCGGGAGAGCGAUGUAGGAAUUCGAUUCGUAAAGCUGUGUGCUAUGGGAAGAAAAUGACUGUACCAGAGGAGAAAGCACCGGCUAAAUACGUG
Molecule: ribosomal RNA, 482 nt
Filed under: uncultured bacterium
Lineage: Bacteria
Description: partial 16S ribosomal RNA
Rfam family: Bacterial small subunit ribosomal RNA
Source: RNAcentral